GAUGAACGCUAGCUACAGGCUUAACACAUGCAAGUCGCGGGGCAGCAUGGGGGUUGCUUGCAACCCCUGAUGGCGACCGGCGCACGGGUGAGUAUCGCGUAUCCAACCUUCCCUUCACCACGGGAUAACCCGGCGAAAGUCGGACUAAUACCGUAUGUUGUCCAUUUACGGCAUCUGGUGUGGGCGGAAGUUUCGGCGGUGAAUGGAUGGGGAUGCGUCCGAUUAGCUUGACGGUGAGGUAACGGCCCACCGUGGCUACGAUCGGUAGGGGUUCUGAGAGGAGGGUCCCCCACAAUUGAACCGAGACACGGGCCACACUCGUACGGGAGGCAGCAGUGAGUAACAUUAGGCACUGAGCGUAAGCCUGAACCCGCCAAGUAGCGUGCAGGAGGACGGCCAUAUGGGUUGUCAACUGCUUUUAUGCGAGGAUAAAGUGGCUCACGUGUGGGCUUUUGACGGUACCGAAUGAAUAAGGACCGGCUAAUUACGUG
RNAcentral lists this ribosomal RNA (491 nucleotides) under uncultured bacterium. Its description in RNAcentral is "partial 16S ribosomal RNA". It matches the Rfam family "Bacterial small subunit ribosomal RNA", at positions 28 to 507 of the family's 1533-position model. The record is from RNAcentral.